UACGAAGGGUGCAAGCGUUACUCGGAAUUACUGGGCGUAAAGCGUGCGUAGGUGGUUUGUUAAGUCUGUUGUGAAAGCCCCGGGCUCAACCUGGGAAUGGCAAUGGAUACUGGCAAGCUAGAGUGCGGUAGAGGGUAGUGGAAUUCCCGGUGUAGCGGUGAAAUGCGUAAAGAUCGGGAGGAACACCAGUGGCGAAGGCGGCUACCUGGACCAGCACUGACACUGAGGCACGAAAGCGUGGGGAGCAAACGGG
This 253-nucleotide ribosomal RNA is filed under the name uncultured bacterium. RNAcentral describes it as "partial 16S ribosomal RNA". It matches the Rfam family "Bacterial small subunit ribosomal RNA", at positions 524 to 776 of the family's 1533-position model. The record is from RNAcentral.